AAAGCUGACAGAAGGAAGGUGUAAAAGACGUUUAACUUUUUACACGCCAACCUGCGCUAAAAAGUUUGAUGCAUUUGUUAAAUAUAAAUUGGUACCUAUUACUUAUAGCUUUUUUGUAUUUGGCUACAUAAGUUUUAGAAAAUAAUACAUCAGCACCAAUUACUUUGAGACUAAAUAAAAAUAAAUAAUAAAAAAUAGCUUUCCAUUUUAAAGUUCUUAACCAAAUUGAG
Molecule: long non-coding RNA, 230 nt
Filed under: Panax ginseng (ginseng)
Lineage: Eukaryota; Viridiplantae; Streptophyta; Magnoliopsida; Apiales; Araliaceae
Description: long non-coding RNA (PGIN_LNC008130)
Source: RNAcentral